This 1160-nucleotide ribosomal RNA is filed under the name Enterobacter hormaechei. RNAcentral's name for it is "partial 23S ribosomal RNA". It matches the Rfam family "Bacterial large subunit ribosomal RNA", at positions 1599 to 2739 of the family's 2925-position model. Lineage: Bacteria; Pseudomonadati; Pseudomonadota; Gammaproteobacteria; Enterobacterales; Enterobacteriaceae. The record is from RNAcentral.
GCCCUGCUUCCAGGAAAAGCCUCUAAGCAUCAGGUAACACGAAAUCGUACCCCAAACCGACACAGGUGGUCAGGUAGAGAAUACCAAGGCGCUUGAGAGAACUCGGGUGAAGGAACUAGGCAAAAUGGUGCCGUAACUUCGGGAGAAGGCACGCUGAUAUGUAGGUGAAGUCCCUGCGGACGGAGCUGAAAUCAGUCGAAGAUACCAGCUGGCUGCAACUGUUUAUUAAAAACACAGCACUGUGCAAACACGAAAGUGGACGUAUACGGUGUGACGCCUGCCCGGUGCCGGAAGGUUAAUUGAUGGGGUUAGCGGCAACGCGAAGCUCUUGAUCGAAGCCCCGGUAAACGGCGGCCGUAACUAUAACGGUCCUAAGGUAGCGAAAUUCCUUGUCGGGUAAGUUCCGACCUGCACGAAUGGCGUAAUGAUGGCCAGGCUGUCUCCACCCGAGACUCAGUGAAAUUGAACUCGCUGUGAAGAUGCAGUGUACCCGCGGCAAGACGGAAAGACCCCGUGAACCUUUACUAUAGCUUGACACUGAACACUGGUCCUUGAUGUGUAGGAUAGGUGGGAGGCUUUGAAGCGUGGACGCCAGUCUGCGUGGAGCCAACCUUGAAAUACCACCCUUUAAUGGCUGGUGUUCUAACGUAGACCCGUAAUCCGGGUUGCGGACAGUGUCUGGUGGGUAGUUUGACUGGGGCGGUCUCCUCCCAAAGAGUAACGGAGGAGCACGAAGGUUGGCUAAUCCUGGUCGGACAUCAGGAGGUUAGUGCAAUGGCAUAAGCCAGCUUGACUGCGAGCGUGACGGCGCGAGCAGGUGCGAAAGCAGGUCAUAGUGAUCCGGUGGUUCUGAAUGGAAGGGCCAUCGCUCAACGGAUAAAAGGUACUCCGGGGAUAACAGGCUGAUACCGCCCAAGAGUUCAUAUCGACGGCGGUGUUUGGCACCUCGAUGUCGGCUCAUCACAUCCUGGGGCUGAAGUAGGUCCCAAGGGUAUGGCUGUUCGCCAUUUAAAGUGGUACGCGAGCUGGGUUUAGAACGUCGUGAGACAGUUCGGUCCCUAUCUGCCGUGGGCGCUGGAGAAUUGAGGGGGGCUGCUCCUAGUACGAGAGGACCGGAGUGGACGCAUCACUGGUGUUCGGGUUGUCAUGCCAAUGGCACU